UACGGAGGGUGCAAGCGUUAUCCGGAUUCACUGGGUUUAAAGGGUGCGUAGGUGGGUCUGUAAGUCAGUGGUGAAAUCUCAGAGCUUAACUCUGAAACUGCCAUUGAUACUAUAGGUCUUGAAUUUCCUGGAGGUUAGCGGAAUAUGUCAUGUAGCGGUGAAAUGCUUAGAUAUGACAUAGAACACCGAUUGCGAAGGCAGCUGACUAUAGGUAGAUUGACACUGAGGCACGAAAGCGUGGGGAUCAAACAGG
Molecule: ribosomal RNA, 253 nt
Filed under: uncultured bacterium
Lineage: Bacteria
Description: partial 16S ribosomal RNA
Rfam family: Bacterial small subunit ribosomal RNA
Source: RNAcentral